CUACGGGAGGCUGCAGUGGGGAAUAUUGUACAAUGGGCGCAAGCCUGAUGCAGCCAUGCCGCGUGUAUGAAGAAGGCCUUCGGGUUGUAAAGUACUUUCAGCGGGGAGGAAGGGAGUAAAGUUAAUACCUUUGCUCAUUGACGUUACCCGCAGAAGAAGCACCGGCUAACUCCGUGCCAGCAGCCGCGGUAAUACGGAGGGUGCAAGCGUUAAUCGGAAUUACUGGGCGUAACGCGCACGCAGGCGGUUUGUUAAGUCAGAUGUGAAAUCCCCGGGCUCAACCUGGGAACUGCAUCUGAUACUGGCAAGCUUGAGUCUCGUAGAGGGGGGUAGAAUUCCAGGUGUAGCGGUGAAAUGCGUAGAGAUCUGGAGGAAUACCGGUGGCGAAGGCGGCCCCCUGGACGAAGACUGACGCUCAGGUGCGAAAGCGUGGGGAGCAAACAGGAUUAGAUACCCCGGUAGUC
This 464-nucleotide ribosomal RNA is filed under the name uncultured bacterium. RNAcentral's name for it is "partial 16S ribosomal RNA". It matches the Rfam family "Bacterial small subunit ribosomal RNA", at positions 339 to 795 of the family's 1533-position model. The record is from RNAcentral.